Molecule: ribosomal RNA, 253 nt
Filed under: uncultured bacterium
Lineage: Bacteria
Description: partial 16S ribosomal RNA
Rfam family: Bacterial small subunit ribosomal RNA
Source: RNAcentral
GACGAAGGAUGCAAGCGUUAUCCGGAUUCAUUGGGUUUAAAGGGUGCGUAGGCGGACUAAUAAGUCAGUGGUGGAAUCUCUCAGCUUAACUGAGAAACUGCCAUUGAUACUGUUAGUCUAGAGUACAGAUGAUGUGGGCGGAAUAUGACAUGUAGUGGUGAAAUACUUAGAUAUGUCAUAGAACACCGAUUGCGAAGGCGGCUCACAAAACUGUAACUGACGCUGAGGCACGAAAGUGCGGGGGUCAAACAGG